UUUAAAGAUAGUCUUGGAAACACCAGGUAAUUGCAAACCAAGAAACUAUGACAUUUGGUCAAUAGAUUAGACUAAAAACUGCUUAAGUUACAUAACUAACAGUUAUUAAGCAGUGAACAACAAAAAGAUUCCACAAAAACCUAUAGGUAAAUCAUUUCUUGUCCUUCCACAAAAACAUUAGCCAGACGGGAAAAUGCAGCUCUGCCUCCAUGAUCACAUUUGGAGAGGAUCUAUUGGCACCAACUUAAGAUGCUGUCCAGAUAUAUACCUGCCCACCACUUGUAGCCCCUGCAAGCAUUCCAACUUCUUUGCGAUGUGCAUCAAAACGGCAUGGAAUAGCAGUCAUGUGCUUGCUUCUUAAGGUAAAAUGAAGUUUCUUGUCAGGUACUGAGAGGAUACAUGGCGCCGGAGUUUCAGUGGACGGGAAUGGCGACGGUGAAG
RNAcentral lists this unclassified non-coding RNA (441 nucleotides) under Hevea brasiliensis (rubber tree). The record is from RNAcentral. Lineage: Eukaryota; Viridiplantae; Streptophyta; Magnoliopsida; Malpighiales; Euphorbiaceae.